AGGUCUUGCCUGCCCAGUGAUAAAUUAAACGGCCGCGGUAUUUUGACCGUGCGAAGGUAGCGCAAUCACUUGUCUUUUAAAUGAAGACCUGUAUGAAUGGCUAAACGAGGGCUUAACUGUCUCCCCUCUCCAGUCAGUGAAAUUGAUCUGCCCGUGCAGAAGCGGACAUAAGAAUACAAGACGAGAAGACCCUUUGGAGCUUAAGAUACAAGAUCAACCAUGUCAAGAAUAUAAAACAAAUUAAACUAAAUGGCACUUGAUCCCUAUCUUCGGUUGGGGCGACCACGGGAGAAAACAAAUCUCCCAUGCGGACUGGGGUUAGCACCCUAAAACCAAGAAAGACACUUCUAAGUAACAAAACAUUUGACCAUAUGAGAUCCGGCAAACGCCGAUCAACGAACCAAGUUACCCUAGGGAUAACAGCGCAAUCCCCUUUCAGAGUCCAUAUCGACAAGGGGGUUUACGACCUCGAUGUUGGAUCAGGACAUCCUAAUGGUGCAGCCGCUAUUAAGGGUUCGUUUGUUCAACGAUUAAAGUCCUACGUG
This 545-nucleotide ribosomal RNA is filed under the name Duringlanis perugiae. Its description in RNAcentral is "partial large subunit ribosomal RNA". It matches the Rfam family "Bacterial large subunit ribosomal RNA", at positions 1850 to 2602 of the family's 2925-position model. The record is from RNAcentral. Lineage: Eukaryota; Metazoa; Chordata; Actinopteri; Siluriformes; Auchenipteridae.